GCGAAAGCCUGAUCCAGCAAUGCCGCGUGUGUGAAGAAGGCCUGCGGGUUGUAAGCACUUUCAGCGGGGAAGAAAAACCCGGGGCGAAUACCUCCGGGCUUUGACAUGAACCGCAGAAGAAGCACCGGCUAACUCCGUGCCAGCAGCCGCGGUAAUACGGAGGGUGCGAGCGUUAAUCGGAAUUACUGGGCGUAAAGCGCACGUAGGAGGCCGAAUCAGUCAGGUGUGAAAUCCCCGGGCUUAACCUGGGAACCGCAUCUGAUACUGUCCGGCUGAGUUUGGCAGAGGAAAGCGGAAUUCGGGUGUAGCGGUGGAAUCGUAGAUAUCGGAAGAACACCAGUGGCGAAGGCGGCUUUCUGGGCCAGAACUGACUCUGAGGUGCGAAAGCGUGGGGAGCGAACAGGAUUAGAUACCCUGGUAGCCCACGCCGUAAACGAUGUCAACCAGCCGUUGGGCCCGUUUGAGGAUCAAGUG
This 474-nucleotide ribosomal RNA is filed under the name uncultured bacterium. RNAcentral's name for it is "bacterial SSU rRNA". It matches the Rfam family "Bacterial small subunit ribosomal RNA", at positions 375 to 845 of the family's 1533-position model. The record is from RNAcentral.